GGCUCCAAAUUUUAGUUAGAUGAGGCUUUUGCAGUUUGGUAUUUUAGUUGCUUUGGCGUCGGGCCUCUCGGCGAUCCUCAUCUGUAUCACCGGCGUAUCCAAUCUAAAUGUGAUCAACCAGCUAUUGAAUGAAGAUAUAGAAGCAUUGGAGUCUCUAAAGAGCAGUUUCCUGAAGUGCGUGGUAAUUCUUUGGAGCUCACUGUUGUAUAUUUCAAAUGCAUCUUCAGUGCUAUAAAAGAUCCUAAAACUGGAGAACUUGAAGGUUUAUCAUUUGAAUUUAAUCUGUGUGAAGCUGUGGUUACAUGGGAACAGUAAGUUGAUUGUCAGGUGCAGAAUAGUACUACUAUACUCACAAGGGAGUUC
RNAcentral lists this unclassified non-coding RNA (363 nucleotides) under Hevea brasiliensis (rubber tree). Lineage: Eukaryota; Viridiplantae; Streptophyta; Magnoliopsida; Malpighiales; Euphorbiaceae. The record is from RNAcentral.